RNAcentral lists this ribosomal RNA (253 nucleotides) under uncultured bacterium. RNAcentral's name for it is "partial 16S ribosomal RNA". It matches the Rfam family "Bacterial small subunit ribosomal RNA", at positions 524 to 776 of the family's 1533-position model. The record is from RNAcentral.
UACGUAGGUGACCAGCGUUGUCCGGAUUUACUGGGCGUAAAGAGCGCGUAGGCGGUCGUUCAAGUCGAGUGUGAAAGCCCCCGGCUCAACUGGGGAGGGUCACUCGAUACUGAUCGACUUGAAGGCAGGAGAGGGAAGCGGAAUUCCCGGUGUAGUGGUGAAAUGCGUAGAUAUCGGGAGGAACACCAGUGGCGAAGGCGACGUCCUGGCCUGUUCUUGGCGCUGAGGCGCGAAAGCGUGGGGAGCGAACAGG